RNAcentral lists this ribosomal RNA (381 nucleotides) under uncultured bacterium. Its description in RNAcentral is "bacterial SSU rRNA". It matches the Rfam family "Bacterial small subunit ribosomal RNA", at positions 367 to 762 of the family's 1533-position model. The record is from RNAcentral.
CGCAAUGGGCGAAAGCCUGACGGAGCGACACCGCGUGGAGGAUGAAGUUUUUCGGAAUGUAAACUCCUUUCGACAGGGACGAAAAAAAUGACGGUACCUGUAUAAGAAGCAUCGGCUAACUACGUGCCAGCAGCCGCGGUAAUACGUAGGAUGCAAGCGUUGUUCGGAAUUACUGGGCGUAAAGAGUACGUAGGCGGUUUACUAAGUCUGUUAUUAAAGACCGAAGCUCAACUUCGGGAAUGUAAUGGAAACUGGUAGACUAGAGGUCAGAAGGGGAAAUUGGAAUUCUUAGUGUAGCGGUGAAAUGCGUAGAUAUUAGGAAGAACACCAGUGGCGAAAGCGGAUUUCUGGUCUGAAACUUUCGCUCAGGUACGAAGGCGU